UAGGGAAUCUUCCGCAAUGGACGAAAGUCUGACGGAGCAACGCCGCGUGAGUGAUGAAGGUUUUCGGAUCGUAAAGCUCUGUUGUUAGGGAAGAACAAGUGCCAUUCAAAUAGGGUGGCACCUUGACGGUACCUAACCAGAAAGCCACGGCUAACUACGUGCCAGCAGCCGCGGUAAUACGUAGGUGGCAAGCGUUGUCCGGAAUUAUUGGGCGUAAAGCGCGCGCAGGCGGUCUUUUAAGUCUGAUGUGAAAGAUCGGGGCUCAACCCCGAGAGGUCAUUGGAAACUGGGAGACUUGAGUACAGAAGAGGAGAGUGGAAUUCCACGUGUAGCGGUGAAAUGCGUAGAUAUGUGGAGGAACACCAGUGGCGAAGGCGACUCUCUGGUCUGUAACUGACGCUGAGGCGCGAAAGCGUGGGGAGCAAACAG
Molecule: ribosomal RNA, 429 nt
Filed under: uncultured bacterium
Lineage: Bacteria
Description: bacterial SSU rRNA
Rfam family: Bacterial small subunit ribosomal RNA
Source: RNAcentral